This 274-nucleotide ribosomal RNA is filed under the name uncultured bacterium. Its description in RNAcentral is "partial 16S ribosomal RNA". It matches the Rfam family "Bacterial small subunit ribosomal RNA", at positions 523 to 796 of the family's 1533-position model. The record is from RNAcentral.
AUACGAAGGGGGCUAGCGUUGUUCGGAUUUACUGGGCGUAAAGCGCGCGUAGGCGGGCUGGUAAGUUGGGGGUGAAAUCCCAGGGCUCAACCCUGGAACUGCCCUCAAUACUGCCAGUCUUGAGUUCGAGAGAGGUAAGUGGAAUUCCUAGUGUAGAGGUGAAAUUCGUAGAUAUUAGGAAGAACACCAGUGGCGAAGGCGGCUUACUGGCUCGAUACUGACGCUGAGGCGCGAAAGCGUGGGGAGCAAACAGGAUUAGAAACCCUGGUAGUCC